CCUACGGGUGGCAGCAGUGGGGAAUAUUGGGCAAUGGAGGAAACUCUGACCCAGCAACGCCGCGUGAAUGAUGAAGGUCUUCGGAGUGGAAAGUUCUUUUCUAAGGGAAGAAGAAAGUGACGGUACCGUAGGAAUAAGCGUCGGCUAACUACGUGCCAGCAGCCGCGGUAAGACGUAGGAGGCGAGCGUUAGACGGAAUGACGGGGCGUAACGGGUGCGUGGGUGGUUUGGCAAGUUAGUAGCGUAACUCCAAGGCUCCACCUUGGAACUACUACUCAAACUGUUGGACUUGAGUGCAGGAGGGGCAACCGGAAUUCCUAGUGUAGCGGUGGAAUGCGUAGAUAUUAGGA
Molecule: ribosomal RNA, 350 nt
Filed under: uncultured bacterium
Lineage: Bacteria
Description: partial 16S ribosomal RNA
Rfam family: Bacterial small subunit ribosomal RNA
Source: RNAcentral